CAAUAGCGUAUAUUAAAGUUGUUGCAGUUAAAAAGCUCGUAGUUGAAACUUGGGCCUGGCUGGCGGGUCCGCCUCACCGCGUGCACUCGUCCGGCCGGGCCUUCCUUCUGAAGAACCUCAUGCCCUUCACUGGGCGUGCUGGGGAAUCAGGACUUUUACUUUGAAAAAAUUAGAGUGUUCAAAGCAGGCCUUUGCUCGAAUACGUUAGCAUGGAAUAAUAAAAUAGGGCGUGCGUUUCUAUUUUGUUGGUUUCUAGAGACGCCGCAAUGAUUAACAGGAACAGUCGGGGGCAUCAGUAUUCAGUUGUCAGAGGUGAAAUUCUUGGAUUUACUGAAGACUAACUACUGCGAAAGCAUUUGCCAUGGAUGUUUNCAUUA
This 377-nucleotide ribosomal RNA is filed under the name uncultured eukaryote. RNAcentral describes it as "partial 18S ribosomal RNA". It matches the Rfam family "Eukaryotic small subunit ribosomal RNA", at positions 592 to 975 of the family's 1831-position model. The record is from RNAcentral.